RNAcentral lists this ribosomal RNA (468 nucleotides) under uncultured bacterium. RNAcentral's name for it is "partial 16S ribosomal RNA". It matches the Rfam family "Bacterial small subunit ribosomal RNA", at positions 28 to 507 of the family's 1533-position model. The record is from RNAcentral.
GACGAACGCUGGCGGCGUGCCUAACACAUGCAAGUCGAACGGAAAGGCCCUGCGUGCGUGGGGUGCCCGAGGGGCGAACGGGGGAGGAACAGGUGAGCAACCUGCCCUUGACUUUGGGAUAACUUCAGGAAACGGGGGUUAAGAUCGGACAGGAUACCCCGUACGAGGGAGGGGGUGGGAAAGUCGGGGCGGUCGGGGCUGGACGCGCGGCUUAUCAGCUUGUUGGUGGGGUAGUGGCUUGCCAAGGCAUUGACGGGUAGCCGGCCUGGGAGGGUGGCCGGCCACCUUGGGACUGCGAUACGGCCCAGACUCCUACGGUAGGCAGAAGUGGGGAAUCUUGCACAGUGGGCGGAAGCCUGAUGCAGCAGCGCCGCGUGCGGGAUGACGGCCUUCGGGUUGUAAACCGCUUUCGCCUGUGACGACGCGUGAGUGACGGUAAUGGGUAAAGAAGCACCGGCUAACUACGUG